AAGCGCGAAACUGGCCUCGAGAUGAGUCUUCCCUGGGUCUGAGAGGUCCCUGAAGGCACGUUUAAGACGAAGACGUGGAUAGGCUGGGUGUGUAAGAGCAGCGAUGCUUUGAGCUAACCAGUACUAAUGAGCCGUGAGGCUUAACCUU
This is a ribosomal RNA of 148 nucleotides. It matches the Rfam family "Bacterial large subunit ribosomal RNA", at positions 2783 to 2925 of the family's 2925-position model. The record is from Rfam.